RNAcentral lists this small nuclear RNA (100 nucleotides) under Aotus nancymaae (Ma's night monkey). The record is from RNAcentral. Lineage: Eukaryota; Metazoa; Chordata; Mammalia; Primates; Aotidae.
GAGCUAUCUGGAAGUACUUUUUGUUGGAACUAUACACAGAAGAUUAACAUUGCCUCAGUGCAAUGAUGACACACAAAUUCAUAAAGCAUCCCAUAACUUU